Molecule: ribosomal RNA, 1544 nt
Filed under: metagenome
Description: bacterial LSU rRNA
Rfam family: Bacterial large subunit ribosomal RNA
Source: RNAcentral
GGCCGAAAGGCGUAGUCGAUGGGAAACAGGUUAAUAUUCCUGUACUUGGUGUUACUGCGAAGGGGGGACGGAGAAGGCUAUGUUGGCCGGGCGACGGUUGUCCCGGUUUAAGCGUGUAGGCUGGUUUUCCAGGCAAAUCCGGAAAAUCAAGGCUGAGGCGUGAUGACGAGGCACUACGGUGCUGAAGCAACAAAUGCCCUGCUUCCAGGAAAAGCCUCUAAGCAUCAGGUAACGUCAAAUCGUACCCCAAACCGACACAGGUGGUCAGGUAGAGAAUACCAAGGCGCUUGAGAGAACUCGGGUGAAGGAACUAGGCAAAAUGGUGCCGUAACUUCGGGAGAAGGCACGCUGAUAUGUAGGUGAAGCGACUUGCUCGUGGAGCUGAAAUCAGUCGAAGAUACCAGCUGGCUGCAACUGUUUAUUAAAAACACAGCACUGUGCAAACACGAAAGUGGACGUAUACGGUGUGACGCCUGCCCGGUGCCGGAAGGUUAAUUGAUGGGGUUAGCGCAAGCGAAGCUCUUGAUCGAAGCCCCGGUAAACGGCGGCCGUAACAAUAACGGUCCUAAGGUAGCGAAAUUCCUUGUCGGGUAAGUUCCGACCUGCACGAAUGGCGUAAUGAUGGCCAGGCUGUCUCCACCCGAGACUCAGUGAAAUUGAACUCGCUGUGAAGAUGCAGUGUACCCGCGGCAAGACGGAAAGACCCCGUGAACCUUUACUAUAGCUUGACACUGAACAUUGAGCCUUGAUGUGUAGGAUAGGUGGGAGGCUUUGAAGUGUGGACGCCAGUCUGCAUGGAGCCGACCUUGAAAUACCACCCUUUAAUGUUUGAUGUUCUAACGUUGACCCGUAAUCCGGGUUGCGGACAGUGUCUGGUGGGUAGUUUGACUGGGGCGGUCUCCUCCUAAAGGGUAACGGAGGAGCACGAAGGUUGGCUAAUCCUGGUCGGACAUCAGGAGGUUAGUGCAAUGGCAUAAGCCAGCUUGACUUCGAGCGUGACGGCGCGAGCAGGUGCGAAAGCAGGUCAUAGUGAUCCGGUGGUUCUGAAUGGAAGGGCCAUCGCUCAACGGAUAAAAGGUACUCCGGGGAUAACAGGCUGAUACCGCCCAAGAGUUCAUAUCGACGGCGGUGUUUGGCACCUCGAUGUCGGCUCAUCACAUCCUGGGGCUGAAGUAGGUCCCAAGGGUAUGGCUGUUCGCCAUUUAAAGUGGUACGCGAGCUGGGUUUAGAACGUCGUGAGACAGUUCGGUCCCUAUCUGCCGUGGGCGCUGGAGAACUGAGGGGGGCUGCUCCUAGUACGAGAGGACCGGAGUGGACGCAUCACUGGUGUUCGGGUUGUCAUGCCAAUGGCACUGCCCGGUAGCUAAAUGCGGAAGAGAUAAGUGCUGAAAGCAUCUAAGCACGAAACUUGCCCCGAGAUGAGUUCUCCCUGACUCCUUGAGAGUCCUGAAGGAACGUUGAAGACGACGACGUUGAUAGGCCGGGUGUGUAAGCGCAGCGAUGCGUUGAGCUAACCGGUACUAAUGAACCGUGAGGCUUAACCU